RNAcentral lists this ribosomal RNA (524 nucleotides) under uncultured bacterium. RNAcentral's name for it is "partial 16S ribosomal RNA". It matches the Rfam family "Bacterial small subunit ribosomal RNA", at positions 28 to 523 of the family's 1533-position model. The record is from RNAcentral.
GACGAACACUGGCGGCGUGCUUAACACAUGCAAGUCGAACGGACAGACAGAGAGCUUGCUCUCUUGAAGUUAGUGGCGAACGGGUGAGUAACGCGUAAUCAACCUGCCCUUCAGAGGGGGAUAACAACGGGAAACCGUUGCUAAUACCGCGUGCGAUUCAUGAACGGCAUCGUUUAUGAAUGAAAGGUGGCCUCUAUGUAUAAGCUAUCGCUGAAGGAGGGGAUUGCGUCUGAUUAGCUAGUUGGAGGGGUAACGGCCCACCAAGGCAAUGAUCAGUAGCAGGUCUGAGAGGAUGAACGGCCACAGUGGGACUGAGACACGGCCCAAACUCCUACGGGAGGCAGCAGUGGGGAAUCUUCCGCAAUGGACGAAAGUCUGACGGAGCAACGCCGCGGGAGUGAUGAAGGUCUUCGGAUUGUAAAGCUCUGUUAAUCGGGACGAAAGAGUUCUGCGUGAAUAAUGCAGAAAAGUGACGGUACCGGAAUAGAAAGCCACGGCUAACUACGUGCCAGCCGCCGCCGUAA